UAAAAUUGUAAUGAGGGGAUGCAGAACAGAACGUAAGAUGCAUCUCUUCGCAGGAUGCAAAUUAGAGUCGUAAAGCUCGUUGACGAACGUGGAAUUCUCAAUCACGUUUCAGGAGCUUCUUCGAAUCGAUUGUACGGCCCUGCGAGUUUGCAGUUCGAAUAAAUAAAAGAAGAAGGAGCCGAGUCGAGGAGUCGAGAAGGCGGCUAGGCGAGAGAGGUAGAAGAAGGCGAGCAUGAGAGCGAGAUGGAGUGACGCGAGGCGGUCGAAGUAAUCAGCAUCGGCUACCGAAAGUCUCAUCUCGUAAGACAGUCAACCCCUCCUCGAGUGUUUGCCGCCGCUAGUAUUUACCGAGUGAACAACGGUAGCCGUGUCUCUUGGCGCGCAUCUACACGAUCCACAGCUAUCCUACCAACAGGUAUAUAGUCUUCGCACCUUUGCCGUAACACGUUGGAGAAUGUAACAAAGAAUAACGAUUCAUCUUUUUUAAUAAAUCUAUCUUUAUAAAUAA
Long non-coding RNA from Wasmannia auropunctata (little fire ant), 508 nucleotides. RefSeq lists it as uncharacterized. Lineage: Eukaryota; Metazoa; Arthropoda; Insecta; Hymenoptera; Formicidae. The transcript is spliced from 2 exons. The record is from RefSeq and is a predicted model, not a curated record.